GUGGGGAAUUUUGGACAAUGGGCGCAAGCCUGAUCCAGCCAUGCCGCGUGAGUGAUGAAGGCCUUAGGGUUGUAAAGCUCUUUCAGUGGGGACGAUAAUGACGGUACCCACAGAAGAAGCCCCGGCUAACUUCGUGCCAGCAGCCGCGGUAAUACGAAGGGGGCUAGCGUUGUUCGGAUUUACUGGGCGUAAAGCGCACGUAGGCGGAUCGUUAAGUCGGGGGUGAAAUCCUGGAGCUCAACUCCAGAACUGCCUUCGAUACUGGCGAUCUUGAGUCCGGAAGAGGUGAGUGGAACUCCUAGUGUAGAGGUGGAAUUCGUAGAUAUUAGGAAGAACACCAGUGGCGAAGGCGGCUCACUGGUCCGGUACUGACGCUGAGGUGCGAAAGCGUGGGGAGCAAACAGGAUUAGAAACCCGGGUAGUCC
RNAcentral lists this ribosomal RNA (425 nucleotides) under uncultured bacterium. Its description in RNAcentral is "partial 16S ribosomal RNA". It matches the Rfam family "Bacterial small subunit ribosomal RNA", at positions 354 to 796 of the family's 1533-position model. The record is from RNAcentral.